This 254-nucleotide ribosomal RNA is filed under the name uncultured bacterium. RNAcentral's name for it is "partial 16S ribosomal RNA". It matches the Rfam family "Bacterial small subunit ribosomal RNA", at positions 524 to 776 of the family's 1533-position model. The record is from RNAcentral.
UACGUAGGGUGCGAGCGUUGUCCGGAAUUACUGGGCGUAAAGGGCUCGUAGGCGGCCAACUAAGUCAGACGUGAAAUCCCUCGGCUUAACCGGGGAACUGCGUCUGAUACUGGAUGGCUUGAGUUUGGGAGAGGGAUGCGGAAUUCCAGGUGUAGCGGUGAAAUGCGUAGAUAUCUGGAGGAACACCGGUGGCGAAGGCGGCAUCCUGGACCAACACUGACGCUGAGUGAGCGAAAGCCAGGGGAGCAAACGGG